CUUGAAAUGAUCCAAAAUGAUGCAGAGCUCAUGGGCUUGAAGUUAAUCCAAGCACCACUGGUUGAUGUAGAAAUUAGAGGAGUUCCUGCCCUAAGAUUCAUGGGAGACAUUGUCUGGAAGUGACAUUGUCUUGAACCGAAAGCCACAUGAAGAUCGACAUCUUGCAAGAGGCAAAGACCCGAAACUCUGAUAGCAUAAUAUCUGCUGCAUGGCAAGUAGUCGAUAGGCUUCGUAUCUGAUCGGGGUUUCAAAGCAGGUUAUUUAUGGAGCAGUUGAAAGGAAAAUGUUGCAUGCUGACUUUAUCCAACCCCUCUUUUUUCCCCCCAAAAAACAUGUUUAUGCUGAAAUGUAGUACUGCUUGCCUGUGUGGCUGUGCUUGUUUAGCUGAUUAUUUGCAAAGUGAAGGGGAAGAUGGGAGGGAAUUUUGAUCUACAUGGUUAUCUGUUCUAGCUUUCUUAUCUACACAACUCAUGCAUUUCAUUCAUGAGACAAAUAUAUGAGAACGACUGUCUUCAAGGUGUAUUAUUUCCACUUCUGAUGCUUGCAAUGGUAAAGAUGAGUUGCCUGUA
Molecule: long non-coding RNA, 569 nt
Organism: Musa acuminata AAA Group (dessert banana)
Lineage: Eukaryota; Viridiplantae; Streptophyta; Magnoliopsida; Zingiberales; Musaceae
Exons: 2
Source: RefSeq, a predicted model, not a curated record